Molecule: ribosomal RNA, 375 nt
Filed under: uncultured eukaryote
Lineage: Eukaryota
Description: partial 18S ribosomal RNA
Rfam family: Eukaryotic small subunit ribosomal RNA
Source: RNAcentral
CAAUAGCGUAUAUUUAAGUUGUUGCAGUUAAAAAGCUCGUAGUUGGAUUUCGGUUAAGAGCGACCGGUCCGCCGUUUGGUGUGCACUGGUUGGUUUUAACUUCCUGUAGAGGACGUGCUCUGGGUUUAACGACCUGGACUCGGAGUCUACGUGGUUACUUUGAAAAAAUUAGAGUGUUCAAAGCGGGCUUACGCUUGAAUAUUUCGGCAUGGAAUAACACUAUAGGACUCCUGUCCUAUUUCGUUGGUCUCGGGACGGGAGUAAUGAUUAAGAGGAACAGUUGGGGGCAUUCGUAUUUCAUUGUCAGAGGUGAAAUUCUUGGAUUUAUGAAAGACGAACUUCUGCGAAAGCAUUUGCCAAGGAUGUUUUCACUAA